UUCAUAACCUUUGGAAUCUGUUGGCCGACAGUCCUUCUUUUCAUAGAAUAAAGAGGUUGAAAAAAGGGAGAUCGAGGCCAGAUUGUAAUAGUCGUAAGCCGAGGUAAGCUUGGUGCUACUUCUUUGUUUUUUUUGCUUUUAUUAUUUUCUUAUGAAGAAUUGUGAUUGAGAGAAGUAUUGUUGAAACUGUAAUUAGAAUAUUGUGGAAUAUGACUUUGGACUGACCAUUUUGGAAAAAAUCUGUAACCGUGAGAAUUGAGAUUAUCGAAUUGUGUUGUGUUAAGUGAAGAUAUUGAAUUCUGUUUGAUGAAUUGAAAAAUUGAAUAUAAUAAGUAAGUUAGAGAUCAGUAAUUGAAUAUAUAUAAA
Molecule: long non-coding RNA, 366 nt
Filed under: Physcomitrium patens
Lineage: Eukaryota; Viridiplantae; Streptophyta; Bryopsida; Funariales; Funariaceae
Description: long non-coding RNA (PPAT_LNC012663)
Source: RNAcentral